CUGCCUCUCAGACAAGGAUAACAGUUGGAAACGACUGCUAAGACUGGAUAUGAAGUUUUGAGGCAUCUCGAAACUUUUAAAAGACCCGCAAGGGUAUGCUGAGAGAUGGGCUUGCGGCACAUUAGUUAGUUGGUAAGGUAAUGGCUUACCAAGACUAUGAUGUGUAGCUGGACUGAGAGGUUGAACGGCCACAUUGGGACUGAGAUACGGCCCAAACUCCUACGGGAGGCAGCAGUAAGGAAUUUUCGGCAAUGGAGGAAACUCUGACCGAGCAACGCCGCGUGAACGAUGAAGUAUUUAGGUACGUAAAGUUCUUUUAUUAAAGAAGAAAAAAUGAUGGAAAAAUCAUUCUGACGGUAUUUAAUGAAUAAGCCCCGGCUAACUAUGUGCCAGCAGCUGCGGUAAUACAUGGGGGGCAAGCGUUAUCCGGAUUUAUUGGGCGUAAAGGGUGCGUAGGCGGUUAAAUAAGUCUAUGGUAUAAGUUCAACGCUUAACGUUGUGAUGCUAUAGAAACUGUUUGACUAGAGUUGGAUAGAGGCAAGUGGAAUUCCAUGUGUAGCGGUAAAAUGCGUAAAUAUAUGGAGGAACACCAGUAGCGAAGGCGGCUUGCUGGGUCUUAACUGACGCUGAGGCACGAAAGCGUGGGGAGCAAACAGGAUUAGAUACCCUGGUAGUCCACGCCGUAAACGAUGAGUACUAAGUGUUGGGUUAAACCAGUGCUGAAGUUAACACAUUAAGUACUCCGCCUGAGUAGUACGUACGCAAGUAUGAAACUUAAAGGAAUUGACGGGACUCCGCACAAGCGGUGGAUCAUGUUGUUUAAUUCGAAGAUACACGAAAAACCUUACCAGGUCUUGACAUACUCUGCAAAGCUAUAGAAAUAUAGUGGAGGUUAUCAGGGAUACAGGUGGUGCAUGGUUGUCGUCAGCUCGUGUCGUGAGAUGUUGGGUUAAGUCCCGCAACGAGCGCAACCCUUAUCACUAGUUACCAUCAUUUAGUUGGGCACUUUAGUGAGACUGCCAAUGAUAAAUUGGAGGAAGGUGGGGAUUACGUCAAAUCAUCAUGCCCCUUAUGACCUGGGCUACAAACGUGAUACAAUGGCUGUUACAAAGAGUAGCUGAAACGUGAGUUUUUAGCAAAUCUCAAAAAAACAGUCUCAGUUCGGAUUGAAGUCUGCAACUCGACUUCAUGAAGUCGGAAUCGCUAGUAAUCGCGAAUCAGCAUGUCGUGGUGAAUACGUUCUCGGGGUUUGUACACACCGCCCGUCAAACCACGAAAGUUGACAAUACCCAAAACCAGUAGCCUAACUUGCAAAAGAGGGAACUGUCUAAGGUAGGGUUGAUGAUUGGGGUUAAGUCGUAACAAGGUAUCCCUACCGGAAGGUGGGGAUGGAUCACCUCCUUUCUAAGGAAA
RNAcentral lists this ribosomal RNA (1413 nucleotides) under Candidatus Phytoplasma prunorum. RNAcentral describes it as "bacterial SSU rRNA". It matches the Rfam family "Bacterial small subunit ribosomal RNA". The record is from RNAcentral. Lineage: Bacteria; Bacillati; Mycoplasmatota; Mollicutes; Acholeplasmatales; Acholeplasmataceae.